This 430-nucleotide ribosomal RNA is filed under the name Listeria monocytogenes. RNAcentral's name for it is "bacterial SSU rRNA". It matches the Rfam family "Bacterial small subunit ribosomal RNA", at positions 166 to 582 of the family's 1533-position model. Lineage: Bacteria; Bacillati; Bacillota; Bacilli; Caryophanales; Listeriaceae. The record is from RNAcentral.
AUACCGAAUGAUAAAGUGUGGCGCAUGCCACGCUUUUGAAAGAUGGUUUCGGCUAUCGCUUACAGAUGGGCCCGCGGUGCAUUAGCUAGUUGGUAGGGUAAUGGCCUACCAAGGCAACGAUGCAUAGCCGACCUGAGAGGGUGAUCGGCCACACUGGGACUGAGACACGGCCCAGACUCCUACGGGAGGCAGCAGUAGGGAAUCUUCCGCAAUGGACGAAAGUCUGACGGAGCAACGCCGCGUGUAUGAAGAAGGUUUUCGGAUCGUAAAGUACUGUUGUUAGAGAAGAACAAGGAUAAGAGUAACUGCUUGUCCCUUGACGGUAUCUAACCAGAAAGCCACGGCUAACUACGUGCCAGCAGCCGCGGUAAUACGUAGGUGGCAAGCGUUGUCCGGAUUUAUUGGGCGUAAAGCGCGCGCAGGCGGUCUU